This 31-nucleotide non-coding RNA is filed under the name Rattus norvegicus (Norway rat). Lineage: Eukaryota; Metazoa; Chordata; Mammalia; Rodentia; Muridae. The record is from RNAcentral.
UGCCAGCAAUGAUAUCAAUACCAUGAACUUG